Molecule: long non-coding RNA, 4780 nt
Filed under: Oreochromis niloticus (Nile tilapia)
Lineage: Eukaryota; Metazoa; Chordata; Actinopteri; Cichliformes; Cichlidae
Description: lncRNA (ENSONIG00000005319.2)
Source: RNAcentral
AAACUGAUGAAAUACUUGAGUAUAAUCAAUCAGAUUCUCCAGUUUCGUAAUGAUUGAGUUUUGAUAUUGAUAAAUAUUUUAAUUCACACAGAAGCUUUCUCUUCUGGAUUUAAAUGCACUAAAGUUUAUUACUAUAAUUUAGAAGCUCUUUUUCAAUUCUUCUAAAUUAUAGUAACAAACCAAAGUAGCCAAUUUGUUACUUUAAGCUGUUAAACAGCUUUGUGUCACUGCGUGUCUUGAUUGCCAACGUAGGGUAAAUGAUUGUAAAUAAAGAAAGAUACUCUGGGUGUGAUCAACUCGCUUAACAGAGAACGGCCCAGAACUCACACAUCUCAUAUGACCAGAAAUAGAAGAAACUUAUAGUAUGAGCUUUAGUAGUAGUGUAAGUGUAAAACUUAUAGUAUUUAUAUUUUGUUGUUUUCAUAGAAUUGCAACAGAGUACAGAAUUUUUUUGUUACAUUUAUAUAAAAAAGUGUCUUUAAGAUGAUUGCAUCGACCCCUGUGAUUAUUUUACAAUGACUGACAUGAUGUGAGUGUUUGUCUUUAGAUUGUGAGUCAGAAAUGAAGAGAUUCACAUCAGAAUGGACUGAAUUCACCUGCAACUGUCAAAAAACACCUGGAAAAUGUCAAAUGGUCUGUGUAGCUGAUUGUGGCUCAAAAACUGGAAAAAAGACUCUCAGAGUAAUCCUCAAACAAGUUGAGAACAAGGACCCCAAAAGGAAUGAUGACAAAAAAGAACUGAAAUUUAAACUUGAGGAAAAUGGCUGUCCAAAGCAAUUCAAUCAAACUGCAUACAAAAAAGCUAAAACCACCAUCAGAUGCAAUCAUCCUGAAAAUAAAUCUGAGUUGUGGUUUUUCUGCAAAGAGAACUCUUCUGUCUGUAACAACAUUUUAUCAGACAGAAGAUCCUUUCUCACAAACACAUACAGUGUCUCCAUCAGUGACGUGUCCAUUGAGGACAAGGGUGUCUACUGGUGUGGAGUAAAGUUCACUGAGAACAAUCAUCAUGUCGCACUCACAAAAGUAAAAUUGAAAGUUGAAGAGAUUAAAAAUGUCAAAAGAAGCCCAGUUGUUGGACAGAACUUCACUUACUGGUGUAAAUACAACCAGACUGUCUCCUCAACAACAAAGUUCAUCUGUAAGGGAGAAGAUCCAUCCAUAUGUCAAGCUCUCGUAAACACCAGGCAGCCUGGUGUGAACAACAGGUUUUUCAUGACUGAUAACACAAAAGAGAAAAACAUCACGAUAACAGUGAGAGAAGUAACAGCAGCAGACAGCGGGACGUACUGGUGUGGAGCAGAAACAAAACAACAACAACGCAGCAACAAGUUCUUCAACAGACUGUUUCUGACAGUACAACCAGCACCACCUUCAUCCUCUACCCCUUUAACUACAACAACCACUACAACUGCUAAGAGUCAUGUCACCUUUGGGAUUACCACUGCUGUGAUCAUCGGCGUGGCUGUGUUUCUGAUCGGUUUCUUUCUUAUUUACAUACGAGUUUCAUGUAUAAAAAACAAAGGAAUUAGUGCAUCAUUGCAGCACGUCAAAGAGGACUCUGCCUAUGAGGAAAUCCAGGAGCGCCUCCAGACGCCAGGAAAUGCAGUGGACUCGAUUUAUGUCACUGCCGGCAGAAAACGUCCAGAUAACUCAACCGUCACUCAACCAUCCAGACCAGCAGAGGAGAAUCUCUACUCAGCAGUCAAUGAGCUAGAGCAAAUAUGACAAUAAGAUCAGCUCUGUCAGGAACUUCUAGAUGAUUUCAGCAUUAUACAUCAGACUUGUAGAAUUAGUUUUAGUGAAAAUGUGUUUAGUGUUAAUGUGAUGUUAUGAUUAAAUAAGAUUAAAUAAGACUGAGGGGUUCAGUAACUUGUAUUAGGAUGUUGAAAAUUUGGUUCAGAAUGAAGAGUUAGUAAAACAAACUGUAAAACUAUGUAGCUGCAAAAACCGCGUAUAACCACGAGGAGAGAGAGGUUUUGACUGACUGCUGUAUAUAGAUAGAUAGAUAGAUAGUGUUAAAUCCUUAAUUCUUUAAUCUUUGGGCUGAAGGAAGGACAACACUCGGUGUAUAAACGCUCAAUCAACAAUCUCUUUAUUCCAUACAACACUUUUGAGCAUGAACCACCCGGAGGGGAAAUGAGCGCGGGAGGGUGUCCGCCUGAUCUCGAAGUGUCUGAGCGUUUCUCACAUUCUUAUAGCUUCAGCCCCCCUCCAAAGUCAUAAAACCUAAACAUCCACAUUCUUUCUCUCUCUCCUCUCAGUGAGCCUAAGGUAUGACCUUGGCUUCCUGUGCAGUAUGUUCUGUUCUUUUCUAAUCAGACAAAUAAGGCCACGACUCUCUGAAAACAGUAUUUCUUAUAACUCAGCAGUAAUGCAUCAUAAAACAAUAUCAUUCAUUCACAAUAAAUCAGCAGUCUUAUGUAAUACAAAUCAGUUUAAUAAAUGUAAUAGUUAUCACCUUCUUCUACGUCAGGAGAAUAAUGCAUACUAAAACUACAUAAUGAUUUCACAAUCUUUAAUUAGGGGUAUAAUGUGGCAUAAGAUAAUAUAAUAAUCUCACAAUAUAUAGAUAGAUAGAUAGAUUUUAGUUGGACAGGGUGGGAUUAAGUGAGCGUAUGCUUCUUCACAUUUCUUUUUGACACCUCUGCUUUACAUAAUAGAUUUUUAAAGAUGAAUGUCAUUUGUUUUUUUGCUUUUGAACCACAGAUUCACAACAGGGUCAUUCCUGCUGUGGCUCUCUGUUUGUAUGUGAUGGUGUUGUUACUGUUUCAAGUCACUUCAAACAAAUCGUGCUACAACAAGUCAGCUGAGCUGUUAUUAAACUGUUAUUGAGUUGACAUCUUUAUUUACUCUUACUGACUGGGGUAAAAGGAGCAAUGGAUCAUGAAGAAAAAUCUGUGUUAUGUUAGUAUGUCGCUGUGCAUUCAUAAAAUCUGAAUGCAUGACUACUCAUAUUUAUCUAUGUCAUGCAACUUUCAAGUCACAUUUUCUCUACGCUGCAUAAAUUCAAGCCAGUGAUGAAGAACCAAAAACUGCAGUUCCUCUAAUGACCACCUGACGUUGUCUAGAUAGCGAUUUGUCCCCAAAGACGUCUGUGUUAAAACACUCAACUUUACAGAAGAAAUAAAGAUGUUUUGUUCGCUAAUGUCACAUUGAAAUGAUACUCAAGGAAGAUUAAUACAAGUGAAAUAUUUAAUAUAAUAUAAUAGUAUUUCUGAUAAUUAGCACGGCCCACAGCAGGUGUUUUGUGUUCUGCUGAAGCUCCUCAAAUACAAACUGUCAGCUUUUGCGUUUUUUCAACAAAACAUUUUUAUUUUAAGCUUGUUGUUCAUCAUCAGCACCUUGCUAGCAAGCCAACCACCCAGCUCUAUUUACAAUAAGAUCUUUCUCAUUUUAUUUCAAAUACAAUCACAAAAUCAAAAACAUAAAAUGCAGAAAUUAUUGCAUGGUUCAUGCUAAAUAGAAAUGAUGAUUCGUGGCCAAAAUCACUAAAAUACAAUGAUAGAACCUUUCUUUUUUUUAAUGUGUCUGAAGAGGAAUGGAGCACAAAGGAAAAUAAAUGGGGUUAGUAUGUCACUGUGUAGCAUAAAAUUGUACUACAUAAUAUCUACACAAAAAAGCACAGCACACACCACACUCAGUGAAAAUUCACCAUCCAAGGCUGAGAAGUUAAGCCAACACUCAAGUACCAAAAGCUGCAGCUCCUCUAAUGACUAAUUCAGGUUUUCUCCAAAUAGACUCCUGUGUUAAACCUCUCAACUUUAUGGCAGAAGAUGGAGACCAUGGUGAUGGUCUCCACAGCUUAAUGUUACCUUUAACACAUUUUUUCUAUUCCCUUUUUACUUGCACGUUGCCUUUAAGCAUGUUCCGUAUGUGUUUAUGUAUUGCUCUGGCCCUGAUUAUAUGAAACUAGCAUUUACAUAAAUCAUUUCAUUAGUUAAAAAGCAGAGAGAUGCCAGUUAACACAACUUUCAUCUGAGAGAAAGAUGCCGCUGCUACUAGUACUGUUCAAAGAGGCAGACGAACAUCUUAGAUCCAACAUUUAACAGCUGAAGAUUAAUAACAUUUAAAUUAUAAAUAUGUUUGACAAGUAUUUUUGUUGGUAGUUUGCGAGGCCUGCAGCACAGGUGGUCCUUCUGUUGUCUCAAAAACUUGCUAAACAGUUUUUACAUUUAAUCGACAAGUCUUAUUUAAAACCUGUAAUUCACUUCAGAGCAUCACACUUUACACCUUAAACAAGAAAAAGCCAACAGAUCUAAAACAUGUAGUAAAUAUAGGCUUUUGUCAGCAACACUUGCUGUUUUAAAAAAUGAAUAUUAUAAACUGUGAACACACAUUUAUUUUAGUCUGUGAGUCACUGGCUUUAGUUUCUUCUUAAAUAUUGUUUUUCUGUGUGACAUUAUUUCACACAUCGUGGAGCAAUUCAUUUGUGCGUCCUUUCAUAAUGUGCAAAAUGGAUUUUUAUUAAUAAAUUAACUCCUCUUUUUUUCAUUACAUUGGAGCUUUUAUUUGUGUGUGUGUUUGGGUUUUUUAGGGCCUCAUUUAACCAUCUGAGGUGGGAUUACAUCAGAUUGACUUCAGUUUGUGGAGAGCUCAAAGUGGCUAACACUUCACUUUUCUGAGUGAAAUUCUAGCAGUCGUAGCGUACAGAAUUUCACUGUGAAAAAUAAACUGUAAAUGUAGAACACAAAACGGUAUCCUAUUUUGGUAAAAUUAAAAGCACGGUUAUGUUAAUUUCGAGUAAUUAACAUACAGUUGUAAAUUGUAAAUUCAAAUGAAA